UUGACUCUGUGCUUCCCAAGCCGAGGCCCUGCUGUGCCCAGUGAGGCCCACUGCUCUUCUGUAUAUUCUCAGGUUGCUCUGCCAUCUGCACAGGCAGCUCCUCCACAAGCACGAGUCUGCAGCAAAGGUGUUCGCAUUAAAAUGAUAAAAGGCCACUGAAAACCUGUGAGGAAGGGGACUCCGAGUUAAAAAAUAGGACAGUUCUUAAACUACUGCUUUGGAGUGAAGGUAAAUGCUUGUUAUAACUGCAAAUACAUUUACAAAUAAAUGUAUAUASUUAUUUGUUGUUCUAUUUGCAAAACUACUCGAUCAGUGCUGAUGUUUGAUCCAGUGCUCCCUCUAGUGGCUGACAGAUGUAACACCUCAAAGUGAUAAAACCAGGAAAAUAACUACAAUAAGACACAUGGUUGGUAAAAAAUAAAAUAAAAUAAAAGA
Austrofundulus limnaeus is the source of this 435-nucleotide long non-coding RNA. RefSeq lists it as uncharacterized. The transcript is spliced from 2 exons. Lineage: Eukaryota; Metazoa; Chordata; Actinopteri; Cyprinodontiformes; Rivulidae. The record is from RefSeq and is a predicted model, not a curated record.